Lactuca sativa (garden lettuce) is the source of this 1818-nucleotide long non-coding RNA. RefSeq lists it as uncharacterized. The record is from RefSeq and is a predicted model, not a curated record. Lineage: Eukaryota; Viridiplantae; Streptophyta; Magnoliopsida; Asterales; Asteraceae.
CCAAAAUGUGUUAUCCAUUUUUAUGGCUGGCCCUAACAUAAAUAUAAAUAUAUUCAUUAAAGUAAAAAAAGAACCUUCAAGUAUGGGCUGGAAAACGAAACAUUGCACAAUGCAAAGGAAAAGGACAUUGUCCUCGUUUAUCCAAGCAUCUUCACAGAAAUUUCUUGUUCGUCGGUUUUCAACUGCCGCAACCUUAGUCCAUGCUUCGCAUUUACUUGAUUUCAUGGAAUCACAUUGUAAACAUCACUACCUAUUACCUACUACCCUCUUCUCUUGUUUCCCUCAAAGCAUGAUACAUUAAAUGGAAUGAUCUUUUAAUGGCAUGGGAGAUCGCACACAUCAUGCUUUAUCGGUAUGUCACAUCAUCUGUAUUUAAUGAUCUCCACGCAUCUUCAUUUCAAUAUCUCGUUCGUUAGGUUUUUUGAUGUUGCUACAAAGCUCUCGAGUCGUCGUUUUCCUGUUUCCCAUUCUGUGGACUUAAACUUUCUGCUCACGCCUUGUCUAGUUUCGGUCAGUCAUAAUGGUGCGUUAGUUGGAAGGAAGUUCGCCCACAACUUGUUUGAUGAAACAAGCAAAAGUAAAUCACAUUAUAAAUACAAAGAUUGAAUGUUGCUGAUUUUCAUCCAAAUUCAAUACUUUUGUUUACUCUCGUGUCUCUACACUUGUUUUUCUGAAGUAGCUAGCAUUCAAACACAAGCUGGAACCUUUCUUCAAGAAGAAGGCAAUUCUUUUGUUCUAUAAUAGAUCAAAAGAAUAGCCUUCAUCUUGAAGAAGUGUUCCACCUUCUGUUUGAAUACCAGAUACUUCAGAGAAAACACUUGUUGAUAAUAUGAGCAUGGGAGUAUAUACAAGUAUUGAAUUUGGAUGUAAAAUCAGCAACUUUUGGAAGAACUGUAAGCUUGAUACUUCUUAGUGUCAACAAUUUGGAAGACGAUAUACAAACUGGAACGCUUCUUCAAGAUGAACAAAAGAUUGAGUUCCAAUUUCAAUGAGGAACAGGGCUUCAGAUUGUAGGUUUCAUCACACCUACAUGAUUAAUCUGAAUUCUUAAAAACAUUGGUCAUAUUCAUAAUAAUCAGUGAUUUAUAUGGAAACGGAUCACAGUUUCCAAACCUAAGUAGCAUGACAGAUGAGGAAAAUUGAUGAUUAUGUAUCAGGGAGUCACCAAUCAGAUAACGACAGCUAGGAUCAUACAUGAGAAAACGUAUAACUAACUACACAUGCUAACAUGCACCAAGUGGGUUGUUUAUAAAGGAGUAAUGUGUGUGAUCCGGUCUGCCAGUACUCUGGAUCCAAAACAACAGAAGCUACGGAGAUGGAAUUUACGGAUGAUAACAAAAAUAAGACAAGAAAAUGGUUAUACGGAUUUUAACCUUUACCAAUAUUUCAUUGAUCGAUUUUGAUGGAUUAAUCCGAUUGUUAAAACUUCAUUGUUGAAGCAUUCAAAGAUAGAGUUGGAUAGGCCUAUUAGUAAAAAGAUAUGUUUAGCUAAACAAAAUAGAGUGUUUCUACCUCUAAAGAUGUGGUUGGCAGAGUAGCUGAAAGUUAAUUUUUUUAGCUGAAAAUUUAGCUUUUGUCUUAUAAGUUAGCCGGUAGCUGAUAUAGAAAGUAAAUCUUUUAGCUGAAAAUUUCGUUUUUGUCUAGGUGAUAGAAUAUGUUUAGUAAAAGUAGUUGAUAAACUACCAUGUCAAAUAUAAAAUGAUACAUUUAGAUAUAUGGUGCCAUAUAUCUUUUUCGGUUCCAUAAUGUUAUGAAUUACUAAGCCAAUGUAUAAUUAUUACCCCAUGAUUAAAUACAAAAAAUGCGUUUAAUAGUAUA